GACGAACGCUGGCGGCGUGCUUAACACAUGCAAGUCGAACGGAAAGGCCCUGCUUUUGUGGGGUGCUCGAGUGGCGAACGGGUGAGUAACACGUGAGUAACCUGCCCUUGACUUUGGGAUAACUUCAGGAAACUGGGGCUAAUACCGGAUAGGAGCUCCUGCUGCAUGGUGGGGGUUGGAAAGUUUCGGCGGUUGGGGAUGGACUCGCGGGUUAUCAGGUUGUUGGUGGGGUAGUGGCUUACCAAGGCUUUGACGGGUAGCCGGCCUGAGAGGGUGACCGGACACAUUGGGACUGAGAUACGGCCCAGACUCCUACGGGAGGCAGCAGUGGGGAAUAUUGCACAAUGGGCGGAAGCCUGAUGCAGCAACGCCGCGUGCGGGAUGACGGCCUUCGGGUUGUAAACCGCUUUCGCCUGUGACGAAGCGUGAGUGACGGUAAUGGGUAAAGAAGCACCGGCUAACUACGUG
RNAcentral lists this ribosomal RNA (468 nucleotides) under uncultured bacterium. RNAcentral describes it as "partial 16S ribosomal RNA". It matches the Rfam family "Bacterial small subunit ribosomal RNA", at positions 28 to 507 of the family's 1533-position model. The record is from RNAcentral.